This 59-nucleotide small RNA is filed under the name Limnothrix sp. P13C2. RNAcentral describes it as "Nitrogen stress-induced RNA 1". It matches the Rfam family "Nitrogen stress-induced RNA 1". The record is from Rfam by way of RNAcentral. Lineage: Bacteria; Bacillati; Cyanobacteriota; Cyanophyceae; Pseudanabaenales; Pseudanabaenaceae.
AGGUAGAUGCACCCUGACGAUAUCUCAGCUCUCCGCCUUCGGGUGGGGAGCUUUUUUUU